Molecule: ribosomal RNA, 230 nt
Filed under: uncultured bacterium
Lineage: Bacteria
Description: partial 16S ribosomal RNA
Rfam family: Bacterial small subunit ribosomal RNA
Source: RNAcentral
CGGGAGUAACGCGUGGGUAACCGUGCCUCAUACAGGGGGAUAACAGUUAGAAAUAGACUGCUAAUACCGCAUAGGCGCACAGUGCUGCAUGGCACAGUGUGAAAAACUCCGGUGGUAUGAGAUGGACCCGCGUCUGAUUAGCUAGUUGGUGGGGUAAGGCCUACCAAGGCGACGAUCAGUAGCCGGCCUGAGAGGGUGAACGGCCACAUUGGGACUGAGACACGGCCCAA